RNAcentral lists this non-coding RNA (522 nucleotides) under Pan troglodytes (chimpanzee). The record is from RNAcentral. Lineage: Eukaryota; Metazoa; Chordata; Mammalia; Primates; Hominidae.
CUUUCUUUCUUUUUUUGUUUUUUUAAGACAGAGUCUUGUUCUGUCAACCAGGCUGGAAUGCAGUGGAAUGACCUCGGCUCACUGUAACCUCUGUCUCCCAGGUUCAAAUGAUUCUCGUGCCUCAGCCUCCAGAGUAGCUGAGACAGUAGAAUCACUUGAACACGGGAGGUGGAGGUUGCAGUGAGCCAAGAUCGCGCCACUGCACUCCACCCUGGGCAACAGAGCAAGACUCUGUCUCAAAAACAAACAAACAAAAAAACUUUAUUAUAGAUAACAGAUACCAAUACUCAGUUAAAAGGGAAAACAGCCUGGGAGCAAAUUCAUGUAUAACACAGUAUUAGGAAGUGAACACACUGUUCAAUAAAUAAUAAGAAAGAAAAUAAGGAUACAAGUAGGCAAUUCAUAGAAGACAUGCAAGUGACUGAAAUACAGACAGACAUGAUGGAUUAUCAGUAACAAGUCAUUGUAUCGGACCUAACUAGAACUCUGGUACCCAUUAUUAUUAUGCAUUAAUAAAGCUAC